AAGCAUCGGACGUCACUGAUCACGUGACUCUGGCCAAACAAAUCAAGCUUCGACACACGCACCGGAGCGUCAGCUUCAAGCGGGCCAUCACUACUUUAUGGCUGUCUCCCCCAGGAGGAGUGUGAAAGGCCAGAGAGAGGAGACAGGGGAGCAAAGAAAAAUAUGGACUUUUUGGAGACGGCACGACACGGGAGUCAAGGGAGUGCACGGCAGUUUUUUGUGUGAAUUAUUUACACCACUGUAAAUAAAUGCACUGUUCAUCACAAAGAGUCCAAGGUUUGUGUCUUCAUUUCCCACAUCCCCAAAGUGUGCCACACAGCCAGUGACAGCCAUGGAUUUAACACCUUUCCUCUGCUUUUUCCUUACUACAUAUUUUUGGGGAUUUGCUUCUGCUCUCGAUGGUCAGCCACGAGGACUCACGGAGGAUGGAUCUGUUGAACUGAUGGUUGGUCUGUCAGCUUCUGCUGGGCUUCUUGUUGCUACUGUUGCUGGUUUUGUGAUCUACAGAAAAUUUGCGAAUUCAAAUUAUCGCUCUCCUUCUGAACAAAAGCCAGUUUCCAGGACUCCCAAGGAAACUGGAAAGAUGACAAUGGAAGUCCAACCCGAGAGUCCUCUCCUAUUAAACAGUUAAAUACAGACUGAAGAAGUCACUUGGACGAGAGAUGAAACGUUUCUCCUACAAAACGCUACGUCUGAAUGAACAGAAUCAACUUUUGGAGAGUUAAAUAUAUAAAUUUUUGUUUUCAAGUCUCAAAACAGAGUUAAAGCUAAUGUGCACUGUUGUUCUCUCAGCCCACUGAGAGGAAAAGCACAUCUUUAUCAAAAACUCCUGCAACAACCUCUUUUUGUGGAUUGUGUGUUUUUAUUGUCUACUUUUUUUUUAUUUAGGAAAGUGCAUGUUAAUUACAUGUAAAAAAAAAUUACAUGAAUGUAAACAUACCAGAUUAUAGCCAAGGGCUAAUUUCCAUCUGUUGUCCAUAAAACAUAAAAAAUAAACAUAAUAAUUCAUAAAAAAUUCAUAAUUCAUUCAUAAUCUAUUUAUCCCCUUCGUAUAUUUUAUUUAUAUUUGUCUCUGUAUUUAUAUGUGUGUGUGUGUGUGUGUGUGUGUGUGUGUGUGUGUGUGUGUGUGUGUGUGUGUGUGUGUAUAUAUAUAUAUAUAUAACAUUCUGUAACUGUAACUUCUGUCGUUGCUGUGCUUUUUUGGAAACCGAAUUUCCCAGAGGAACCCACCCGAGGGAUUAAUAAAGUUCUAUCUUAUCUUAUAAUAAAAACUCCAUCACCAAACUCACACAUACACACCAUUCUGUUCCCAAAUGAAACAUUAAAACUGUACAACUCA
Astatotilapia calliptera (eastern happy) is the source of this 1339-nucleotide long non-coding RNA. The record is from Ensembl. Lineage: Eukaryota; Metazoa; Chordata; Actinopteri; Cichliformes; Cichlidae.